CCCACCUGGAAGCCCAUAAAGACGAUGGAUGGUUACUAGGAGAUUCUGGAUACCCAUGCAGACCGUGGCUGCUCACACCACUGGCCCAGCCUCAGACCCGUGCAGAGGAGAGAUACAACAGCAGUCACUGUCGAACCCGCAACACCAUCGAGAGAGCUUUUGGUCUCUUGAAGUCCAGAUUUAGGUGCAUCCACAAGUCUGCAGGCUGCUUGUGGUAUGGGGUGAAACAGUGCCACAAGAUUGUGUAUGCAGCUGCACAGCU
Long non-coding RNA from Haliotis rubra (blacklip abalone), 262 nucleotides. RefSeq lists it as uncharacterized. The record is from RefSeq and is a predicted model, not a curated record. The transcript has 3 exons. Lineage: Eukaryota; Metazoa; Mollusca; Gastropoda; Lepetellida; Haliotidae.